Long non-coding RNA from Ipomoea triloba (trilobed morning glory), 611 nucleotides. RefSeq lists it as uncharacterized. Lineage: Eukaryota; Viridiplantae; Streptophyta; Magnoliopsida; Solanales; Convolvulaceae. The transcript has 3 exons. The record is from RefSeq and is a predicted model, not a curated record.
UCCCAAAUCAGCAUCCCUAAAACUCCCGAUUUCUCUAGCUCUUCUCGCCCUCUCCUUUCGCGACGACAACAGACGACGCUAACAGUUGUGGUCUCGGGUCUCCUCUGCUCCGGCGAAGGCGGUGGUGGUCGGCGACAGCAAGUCCAGCAGCCGGCGAUGCAGGGUAGACCAGCGACAUCCUUUCCCUCUCUUCUCCCUCCCUCUUCCUACGGCGAUGGUCAGCGGCGAUGACUAGGACGGCCUCCUUCAAUUCCUCUGUUCUUUCUCCUGGUAGUAAUGGCAAAGAUUGGGGGAGGUUCCUCGUUGAAGUGUUUAGCUUAGGAAUUGAGCUAAGAUCGGGUGCUUUGCUUUUGGAGCUUAGCUUGAGGACUUGGUGUAAAGUGACUCGUUUUGAGAGCGCAACGGAGAGCUAGUUGCCUUGGAUUGGAUUCUUUGUAUAAAUUGUUUAGCUUAGAGUUUUGAGUUAUUUGGUUGUAGACGAUCUGUAACUGGGAUAGUGAAUUGUUGUAUUAUAGUUGAUUUGUAAUAUGGAUUGUGGUGGGUGUCGAAACCAACAAAUAAUAAAUACUUACUCUUAUGCAUUGUAAUAGUGAUGAGCAAGGUCGUAUCCA